RNAcentral lists this ribosomal RNA (469 nucleotides) under uncultured bacterium. RNAcentral's name for it is "partial 16S ribosomal RNA". It matches the Rfam family "Bacterial small subunit ribosomal RNA", at positions 28 to 508 of the family's 1533-position model. The record is from RNAcentral.
GACGAACGCUGGCGGCGUGCUUAACACAUGCAAGUCGAACGGAAAGGCCCUGCUUUUGUGGGGUGCUCGAGGGGCGAACGGGUGAGUAACACGUGAGUAACCUGCCCUUGACUUUGGGAUAACUUCAGGAAACUGGGGCUAAUACCGGAUAGGAGCUCCUGCUGCAUGGGGGGGGUUGGAAAGUUUCGGCGGUUUGGGAUGGACUCGCGGCUUAUCAGCUUGUUGGUGGGGUAGUGGCUUACCAAGGCUUUGACGGGUAGCCGGCCUGAGAGGGUGACCGGCCACAUUGGGACUGAGAUACGGCCCAGACUCCUACGGGAGGCAGCAGUGGGGAAUAUUGCACAAUGGGCGGAAGCCUGAUGCAGCAACGCCGCGUGCGGGAUGACGGCCUUCGGGUUGUAAACCGCUUUCGCCUGUGACGAAGCGUGAGUGGCCGUUAUCGGUAAAGAAGCACCGGCUUACUUCGUGC